AUGAAGAAAGGACAUUUUGGCCAGAGCAAAGGUCGGCUUUGGGGAUUUUCCAUGGAGAUGGAAGAAGUAGUACGCCGUAUCAAGCUGGGUCCAGGCGGCGGCGGCGGAGGAGGAGGAGGAGCACGCCGUCGCAAGCUGGGUCCAGGCGGUGGAGGUGGAGGAGCCGACAUCAUCAGCGCCCUCCCGGAGGAUCUGCUUCUCCAGGUCCUCGUCCGCCUCCGCUGCGCCGGCGCCGCCGCGCGCACCAGCGUCCUCUCCCGCCGGUGGCGCGGCCUCUGGACCAGCCUCCCCGACCUCGUCUUCCGCGGCGUCGCGCUCGGCUCCCUCCAAGCGGCGCUGGCCUCGGUCCAAGCCGCGGCCGGGCCCGGGGUGACCCUCCUCGACAUGUGCGUUCCCGACGCGCUCCUACACUCCGUCCGCGAGUCCGACAUGCCCCCGCUGCUCCACGCCGCCGCGGCGCUCUCGCCGGUGGAGCUCCGCCUAGCCGUGGGGAAGGGCACGCAGCGCCUGUACCUGGAGGUGGAGGUGCCCCGCCUCCCCCGCGCCGCCUCGGUGGAGCUCCGAGGGCUGGAUCUCGUCUUCGCCGCCCCGCGCGGCAGCUGGCUGGGGUUCCCGGCGCUGGAGAGGCUCGCCCUCACCGGCUGCCGCGCCAACCUCACGGACCUGGUCCUCCGCUGCCCGCGCCUGCGCGUCUUCAGACUCAGGGAGGACCACGGCGCCCACCACAUGAACAUCAUCAUCAGAUCCUCGUCGCUGCAGGACCUGGAUGUGGACACCAGGAUCCCCUUCACCUACCGCAUUGACAUCAGGGCGCCCGCGCUCAAGCGAUUGGCCAUGUUGUUCAGCACCAGCGACAAGAUCAUUGUGUUGGUCUCCGUUUUGGCACCGAUGCUGGAGACGGUCUCAUGGCGCUGCACUUAUUCCACGGUGUCCGCCCGGCUUGGUCUUUGGGGCCUCUCCGCGGUGAGAUUACAGACGGCGGAGAACAAUGGGCAGCUUCCUCCUCAUGUCAAUGUCCUGUCGCUGUUCGCGGCUGCCGAUGAUUCAUAUGAUUUUCCAGAGGAAGUCAGCCUUAUGACGGAGAUAGAGAAACAUAUGGUUACCCAUUUCUCUGUUUUGGAGCUACAUGUCGAAACGUUGGGGCAUGUUUUUGGAGCAUUUGCAUUGCACAUCCUUGGAAUGGAUCAGAUUUCCACUGCUAUACAAAGCCUUAAAGUCAUCCUGCUGAGUUCAGAGGAUGAUGAAGCAUGCCCAGAGAAUUGCCCUUGUGAGGAGCCCAGUAACUGGAGAAGCCAAACUAUCUCCUUGACCAAUCUUGAAAAAGUGGAAAUCGAAGGCUUCCAAGGAGAAGGUCACGAGUUAGAUUUCUUGAAACUGGUAUUUAGAUGCGCACCAAUGCUGAAAACAAUGUCUGUGAGGCUGUCAGAUGAGGUCACAGCAAGUAACGACGAUUGCUGCAAGAAAAUACAUGACGUCUUCAAGAUGUAUCCUUUUGUGCAAUGCAAUGUGAUUGUGGAUCUUAGUCCUGAGUCAAGAGACAGCAGCUAUAGUGGUGCCUCGACAUGA
Molecule: ribosomal RNA, 1566 nt
Filed under: Triticum aestivum (bread wheat)
Lineage: Eukaryota; Viridiplantae; Streptophyta; Magnoliopsida; Poales; Poaceae
Description: partial small subunit ribosomal RNA
Source: RNAcentral